GACGAACGCUGGCGGCGUGCUUAACACAUGCAAGUCGAACGGAAAGGCCCUGCUUUUGUGGGGUGCUCGAGUGGCGAACGGGUGAGUAACACGUGAGUAACCUGCCCUUGACUUUGGGAUAACUUCAGGAAACUGGGGCUAAUACCGGAUAGGAGCUCCUGCUGCAUGGUGGGGGUUGGAAAGUUUCGGCGGUUGGGGAUGGUCUCGCGGCUUAUCAGCUUGUUGGUGGGGUAGUGGCUUACCAAGGCUUUGACGGGUAGCAGGCCUGAGAGGGUGACCGGCCACAUUGGGACUGAGAUACGGCCCAGACUCCUACGGGAGGCAGCAGUGGGGAAUAUUGCACAAUGGGCGGACGCCUGAUGCAGCAACGCCGCGUGCGGGAUGACGGCCUUCGGGUUGUAAACCGCUUUCGCCUGUGACGAAGCGUGAGUGACGGUAAUGGGUAAAGAAGCACCGGCUAACUACGUG
Molecule: ribosomal RNA, 468 nt
Filed under: uncultured bacterium
Lineage: Bacteria
Description: partial 16S ribosomal RNA
Rfam family: Bacterial small subunit ribosomal RNA
Source: RNAcentral